Molecule: ribosomal RNA, 853 nt
Filed under: uncultured bacterium
Lineage: Bacteria
Description: bacterial SSU rRNA
Rfam family: Bacterial small subunit ribosomal RNA
Source: RNAcentral
CAAGUCGAACGGUGUAGCAAUACACAGUGGCGGACGGGUGAGUAAUGAAUCGCUAACGUGCCCUUAGGCCUGGGAUAGCUAGCCGAAAGGUUAGGUAAUACCAGAUGAAAUGACCUGGUCGCAUGAUCGGGUUCUCAAAGCAGCAAUGCACCUUUGGAGCGGGCGAUUUCGUAUCAGCUUGUUGGUGAGGUAACGGCUCACCAAGGCGAUGACGCGUAGCCGGACUGAGAGGUUGGCCGGCCACAUUGGGACUGAGACACUGCCCAGACUCCUACGGGGGGCUGCAGUAACGAAUCUUCCGCAAUGUACGCAAGUAUGACGGAGCGACGCCGCGUGGAGGACGAAGUUCUUCGGAAUGUAAACUCCUGUCAGGGGUUAGAAAGUUCUGAUCAACCCCAGAGGAAGGCACGGCUAACUCUGUGCCAGCAGCCGCGGUAAGACAGAGGUGCCGAGCGUUAGGCGGAAUCACUGGGCUUAAAGCGUGUGUAGGUGGAUGCCUAAGUACCUUGUGAAAUCCCACGGCUUAACCGUGGAACUGCUUGGUAUACUGGGUGUCUUGAGCCAGCUAGGGGCUACCGGAACAAAUGGUGGAGCGGUGAAAUGCGUAGAUAUCAUUUGGAACGCCAAUGGUGAAAACAGGUAGCUGGGGCUGUGCUGACACUGAGACACGAAAGCCAGGGGAGCGAACGGGAUUAGAUACCCCGGUAGUCCUGGCCGUAAACGAUGUCGACUAGAUCGCAGCCGCUCUGACGCGGUUGCGGUCGAAGCAAAAGUGCUAAGUCGACCGCCUGGGGAAGUACGGUCGCAAGGCUAAAACUCAAAGGAAUUGACGGGGGCUCACACAAGCGGUGGA